GUGGGGAAUUUUGGACAAUGGGGGCAACCCUGAUCCAGCCAUUCCGCGUGCGGGAAGAAGGCCUUCGGGUUGUAAACCGCUUUCGGACGGAAAGAAAUCGCCAUUCCUAAUACGAGUGGUGGAUGACGGUACCGUAAGAAGAAGCACCGGCUAACUACGUGCCAGCAGCCGCGGUAAUACGUAGGGUGCGAGCGUUAAUCGGAAUUACUGGGCGUAAAGCGUGCGCAGGCGGAUAUUUAAGUCAGACGUGAAAUCCCCGAGCUUAACUUGGGAAUUGCGUUUGAAACUGGAUGUCUAGAGUGCGUCAGAGGGGGGUGGAAUUCCACGUGUAGCAGUGAAAUGCGUAGAGAUGUGGAGGAACACCGAUGGCGAAGGCAGCCCCCUGGGAUGACACUGACGCUCAUGCACGAAAGCGUGGGGAGCAAACAGGAUUAGAUACCCUGGUAGUCC
RNAcentral lists this ribosomal RNA (450 nucleotides) under uncultured bacterium. Its description in RNAcentral is "bacterial SSU rRNA". It matches the Rfam family "Bacterial small subunit ribosomal RNA", at positions 354 to 796 of the family's 1533-position model. The record is from RNAcentral.